UCCCGCCGAGCGGCCGCGCCCCGAGGUGCUGCUGCGGACGCCGCAGGUGAGCGACCCUCUGCGGUCCCGGGUUGACUGACACCUGGCUCUGCGUUCUAAACCGAGAGGACACUGGCGGCUACACCUGUCCCCGGAGGUGUAGGGACCACCCCCCACCACACAGAGGCGCCCACCUCCUCAUCGAAGCUUCUAGAAGGGGCAGGAGGGGCUGUGGGGCGGAGGCGGCGAAGUCGCGUUCCUCGUGCCUCAGAACUGUGACUGGGCGGCUGGCGCGAGGUGUGAGAUGGCAGAGAGGAAGGGGAAGGCAUUCCAGCACAGAGAACACAUGGAAUGAAUUAAUGAAUAAAGAAGGUUCCAGUGAGUAACAGAAGAUACAAAGCUGUUAGGACGACAAGUCACAGAAAACCUCAAAAGGAACAGAGCAGUUUGUGGCAAACAGUGCGGUAACCACAUGGAAAAAAUGGUGCUUCUGCUGGUGUCCACUCCACUCCCAAUCCUCUUGGGCAUAUGCAGGAGGACUGGAACAUAACCACCAAUAUCUAGAGCAAAAGUGAACAAGAGGAAACCCACAAGCAAAGAGAGCACUGGAUCCUUCCUUCUCUUAUGCAAAUGAUCCUCCCCCCCUCCCCAGAGGUAAAAAUAUAUUAUGUUCUCGCCCUUGAAAGAAAUAAUGAAUUGUUUGAGCUCAAUAAACAUGAAUUGCAAUAAUCUGAUAUUGCAGCCAGUUUUCACAUUAAAAAUUUCCUAUUACACUAAUAAUAGAAACCAUUUAGGAUGGUAAUGGCCAAGAAUCAAUAAAAUAUGGAAAAGUGGUAAUAGUUUGUUCACUCUUAAAAAUAUAUAUAUUAAUCCUAUUUUUAAGAGAAAUACACAACACACAAAUGAUCUUUUAAAAAAAUAACAUCGGUUCCCCUGAAUUUUUUCCCAGGCCAUCACAUCCUACUAAAGAAAAAGAAAGUUAACUGCUCUGAGUUUCACUUCUUUUCCUGUUCCCUGCCCACCAGCCACUUGUGCAACUGUCUUCUCAUAUGUCCUCUCUUCUCAGCCUGCAUGUGGUCACAACUUCCAUGACUGGCAGUAUCACUUAUAUACUAUGUACAGUGACACUCAGAUCUGUUUUUCCUGUAUCCAAUUUUCAGACAUCUCUUGAACAUUUUUUAAACGUAACAUAAAUAUCUCAUUCAACAUACUCAAGACCCAAAUCUGUUUCUGUGUUUCAGUUAACAGUAUCACCAUCCACCUGGUUACCUGAGUUUCUAAAACCCUCAGUUCUUUUCGGUUCAGCAAAUAGCUAUGCAGGGCAUUAAGCCAUGUGCUGAACACAGAGGAGGAUAAAAAGACAAAUAAAAUAAGGUGCUGGCCUCAAGAACUCUCCCAUCUGGAAGGAGAAUCUAGCAAGCAUGAAAAACACACUUUGACAUGCUAAGGACUGACUCACUGCCUGGGACCACUGGUAAUGGGAUUCACAGAAGACAUGAAAUGAGGGCUGGAGCUGGAAGAGCCAGUAAGGUGCGGUAACAUUUGUUGCAGGUGAGGAAAACUGCACGUGUUAAGGUACAGAAGCAUCAGUGAACAGAAUGGAUUCAGGGAAACUGAGGCACUGGGGAAGUUCAGGAAGACAGGAGUAGUAAAUGUGGCCCCAGGAAGAUAGGUCUGGACAAGAACCGUGGGGACCUUAUUUGCUAUGCUAAGUGUCAGGGUGUCACUGCCUCUGCUACUCAACAAUAAAAUGUUUUAAAGUAUGAGAAUAAUAGCACUGAGUAGAAGGGCCUAUUUCUGAACGAUAACUCUGACAGUGUUGUGAAGAACGGAGAGAGGGAAAACAGACUGAGAGGAUUCGUAAGUGGGUCUUACUGAAGGGGUACAAGAAUCAACCAUGCUGAGCGUGGCGGUGGUGCUUCUAACUAUAGUUACUCUGUGGACCAUGUUAUUCUAAGAAUAAAGAAAGAGGACAGCACAUUUGGAAAAGAUGCAGAGGAAAACUGUGGAAGAUUUUGAAAAGGCGAGAAAAAAAAAAUCACCGGGUAUCUUUUCAAUGCCUGGAGCCCCAGGGAUUAGCUAUU
Long non-coding RNA from Camelus dromedarius (Arabian camel), 2063 nucleotides. RefSeq lists it as uncharacterized. The transcript has 3 exons. Lineage: Eukaryota; Metazoa; Chordata; Mammalia; Artiodactyla; Camelidae. The record is from RefSeq and is a predicted model, not a curated record.